CCCAUUCACAUUCGUCUUCUGUAUAUUUUGGAUUUCCGAUAUUGCUUUUUUUAUUUUUGCAAAUCUAAUUUUAUUUGAACCAAUCAGACGACUUGUUUCAACAAGCAUUUGGCUGAACAAUCAGAAUAGUGUCGAAUGUCAAAGGAUGAGAAAAAUGUGCAGUCAAGCCACCCGGGACCCCUGGCUUACAGGGUGAGUGCCCUACCGACUGAGGUAACCGGCUGUCUGACACCUUGCAUGACCAAGUCCGUACCAUGACAUAUGAUCUCUCAAAACACGAGGGGUAGUCACAAUGUGGUUGUCAUAAGAAUUGUAAAUAUUAAAAAUCCAGGCUAAAUAUAGAUUUUUAGCUCGACUAUUCAUAGAAUAGUGAGCUAUUGCACUCGCCCAUGCGUCCGCGUCCGCGUCCCGAUUUUGGUUAAGGUUUUGUAUGUAAGCUGGUAUCUCAGUAACCACUUGUGGGAAUGGAUUGAAACUUCACACACUUAUUCACUGUGACAAACUGACUUACAUUGCACAGGUUCCAUAACUCUAUUUUGCUUUUUUACAAAAUUAUGCCCCUUUUUCGACUUAGAAAUUUUUGGUUAAGGUUUUGUAUGUAAGCUGGUAUCUCAGUACUUACUAAUGGGAAUGGAUUGAAACUUCACAUACUUGUUCACUAUCAUGAUCUGACAUGCACUAAGCAAGUCCCAUAACUCUACUCUCUUUUUUUUUCAAAAUUAUGCCCCUUUUUCGACUUAGCAGUUUUUGGUUAAAUUUUUGUAUGUAAUCUGAUAUCUCAG
Long non-coding RNA from Mercenaria mercenaria, 782 nucleotides. RefSeq lists it as uncharacterized. The transcript is spliced from 2 exons. NCBI's taxonomy places the organism in Eukaryota, Metazoa, Mollusca, Bivalvia, Venerida, Veneridae. The record is from RefSeq and is a predicted model, not a curated record.